UGUCUGAUUCCUCUCUUUGUCCUCUGA
This 27-nucleotide non-coding RNA is filed under the name Homo sapiens (human). Lineage: Eukaryota; Metazoa; Chordata; Mammalia; Primates; Hominidae. The record is from RNAcentral.